UGAGUAUUUCUUAAUUAUAUGGUACCACCUUAAACCUUUCCGAACUAAGAAGUGAAACAUAUAAAAGAUGACGAUACUAUAAGGGAGGCCUUAUGGGAAAAUAAUUGAAUGCUCUA
Molecule: ribosomal RNA, 116 nt
Filed under: Paenibacillus roseus
Lineage: Bacteria; Bacillati; Bacillota; Bacilli; Caryophanales; Paenibacillaceae
Source: RNAcentral